This 253-nucleotide ribosomal RNA is filed under the name uncultured bacterium. Its description in RNAcentral is "partial 16S ribosomal RNA". It matches the Rfam family "Bacterial small subunit ribosomal RNA", at positions 524 to 776 of the family's 1533-position model. The record is from RNAcentral.
UACGUAGGGUGCGAGCGCUGUCCGGAAUUAUUGGGCGUAAAGAGCUUGUAGGCGGUCUGUCGCGUCUGCUGUGAAAAUCCGGGGCUCAACCCCGGACUUGCAGUGGGUACGGGCAGACUAGAGUGUGGUAGGGGAGACUGGAAUUCCUGGUGUAGCGGUGAAAUGCGCAGAUAUCAGGAGGAACACCGAUGGCGAAGGCAGGUCUCUGGGCCACUACUGACGCUGAGAAGCGAAAGCAUGGGGAGCGAACAGG